CUGAGAUUCUGGUGCUUAAAUAAUUUAGGUCCCUUACCAACAUAAGCAUUCAUCUUGAACAAGAUGGAGGUUUCCUCCAGUGAACUACAAGGAAUGUGAACAACUGCCAAUGUUGAACAACCAAUGUAUAUAAUUAUUGUAUCAUAUGUACCAUGCCGAGACAUCAUGUUCUCGAUACACUCCCCUUGCAUAUAUUGGGGGGUCUACCAACCUAGCAUUAAUAGUUGUUGCUCUGUAUCGUAGCAAGUAGAUCAAUUGAUUGUUUUAUGGAUAAUAUAGAGUACCACAUAGACAUAAACACUGGUACUCUUUCAAACAAAUAUUUUUCAAGUUUUAUUUUUUUUGUACGAGAUAAUUUCUUAAGUAAUGGCAUUUUGAUGUCAAGUUCUGGUCUGAAGUCACUAAUAUAGUGUAGGAUGUGAGUUAUGUUUCCAUGUGCAAGUACACAAUAACAAAGAAUCAAGAGGCUUUAACAUUUAACAUCGAAGUGUCUGAAGAAAAAUCAAGACCCAAAACUCAAAUAUGAAUGGAGGGCCAAAAACACCUAUAAAAAACAUUUUCCCUCUCCACUUCUGCCAUUAGGAUUCAUAGUUUCCCAAUUAUUUAUUAGUCAGAAAAUAAAUCUUAAGUUUGAAAGCACGUUUAUCCACCAAAAUAAAACUAUCCAAUAUAGUUGUGCAUCCUCUCAUCCCAAUGUAUGUCAAUUUUGGCUCCAUGUCUAUCUAGCUAAAAGCAUGGUACAAUAAUAUAAUCAUGACCAUGAACAGGACACUGGUCGACAGUCAUAAAAGGUCAGAUAAAGUAUUUUGAGGAUCUUACCUUAUUUCGCAAUGGUUUUCACAUAUCGCAUGUGUAAUUGGAGAACAAACAAACUCCUCCUAAUAUGAUCAAAGGAGUAGACAAAGUAUUAUAGAGCGUUAAUGAAUUAGAACUAAAAAGCAUGUUUCCUCUGAAUAUCUACUGAUGGUACUACAAUUCCCAAAAAGUGGUUCUAGGGAUUGGCAAGAACACUCAUGGUGUAUCUCCAUAGCAGAUAAAGAUGACUCAGACUAUGCCAUAUUAUGUUCUCUAAAUAAUGAUUCUUCUCCAGAAAACUUGUCUUCAAACAACAUGAAUGGUUCGAACUGAUGAAUUUUGUAUGUGAAUUCAUGGAUAGCAUUUCUCAGAAAUAGAACUUCUCCGUUUAGGUCAACAACUAAAAGUAAAUUAUGUCCUAAUCAGCCCACCCAUCAAUGAAUCCUUGGUGGGUGCUUAUAGGGAACAUAUGGCUCCCAAAAAAGAGGAAAGAAUAAGUCAAGUGGCCCCAAUAAGAGCAAAGAUGUGGUUCUCAGAAUUGAAUAAAAUAGAAAAAAAUAAAACAAAAUAACAUAAGUGGAAGUAAGCCCAAUUCAAGCCUCUCAACCCACCACAAGGUAUGCUCUCAAACCAUUCACUCAAUUGUUUCAUUACCUUGGUCGAGCUGUCUCCCUCUAGCUUUAUAGGUCACCAAAAUGUGUUAACUAGAACAUAACCACGAUAACUAUCUUGGAUGCCAAAUAUAUUCUUUCAAGUGUACCCACACUUAACUCUUAGUGACAACUAUUUUAAUAUAGGAAUAUGAACUAUUGGAUAUGAUCAUCAUGAACUAUUGAUAAAUUCAUUAUCUCUAUUGGAUAUUUAGCUUUCAGUUUGAGUAGGGUGAUCAGAUUUGUACCCAACAUAUGACGUCCAGACCAUCAUUGAGAAUACAGUAUUGGACGCUUACUCAUGCAUCUUACAAAAGUCAAGAGGCCAUCUCCAAUUCUUAAUCAAGCUGAGUUUUCAACAAUAUCCAGCUCAAUUCAUAAUAAUGAUCAAUCUUUAGGCUCACCCAACAAAAAUUGUCAUAGUUUCUCGCAAUCAAUUUGUGCAACUUGAAGAAUAGCAUGUCUGGGGGAUGAAAAUUGUUUUUACAAUGUCACGAAGUCAGAAGAAGCUCACUAGAAUAAAAAUUUCCCAUUAAUAGGUGAAAUAUAUUCUUUUCAAAGGAAACUCAAAGAUAUAAGCCAGUCAUUUCAAAGACCAUGAACAAGUCCUUCAUUACCAGUUCUUUGCGAGCACUUUACAAAUAUUGUCACAUGCACAGAAGUUCAUGACACUUUUCUAACAAGGAUGUUCAGCUUGACUCAUCGUAAGGUGACCUUCCUUAAUAUUUCCUCUAAUCUUAUAUAGUCAAUCGACUAAUCUAAUAUUGACGGUGAAGAUACCACAACCAUGAUUUAGAUCUGAUUCGAAAUCUAAGUAUAUUUCACAUUUCUAUGAAGAACAUAGGGAUAGCUAACAAUGCGAUCAGUUAUAGAGUUUCAAAAAGUUAAAGACAGCGAGAGAGAUGGAUAGAAUCAAUUGCCAAUUCUACUAGUUGAUCGAGCUUCAACACAAGACCAUCCUCUAUAUUUUCAAAUGUCGAAUACCAAAUCUACUGUAUGUCCUUUUGACCUCUAUCUUCUAACGUCAACGAUUGUAGUGGAAGUUUCAUUCCUUGCUGCUGAAUUUCGUAUAAUUACCUUUCCAAAAUAAUCCCUUUUUUCCACUUUGUACUCGGUAGCCUAGUUUUCUUGACUCCGGAUCAUCAGCGUGCUAAAUUGACAAAUGAAAUUGGGAUGUACGAACCACGGAUUUUAAGUAAUGAAGAAAGAGAAAUUACGUAGUUGUUGAAGCAGACAGAAGUAGAAUGAAACAUCGAAACAACUAAACUACCAAUUACUCUAAACCAUCAAUUGCUAAACAAAAUCUUGAACUUGGUCACGAAAAGGAAAAAAAAUCCCGUAACAAAAAUCAAGAAAUUUCUCAAUCUUUUUUGAAAUAAAAGAACCUAUAACUAUGAGGUUGGACAACCGAAUCAGAGAUCAUAAAUCCCAGAUAAGAGAUUGUUUAAAGACCGGAAAAAUCACCUUCCAAGACGUGAUCCUCGGGUCCUAUGGAGGAAUCCCCACACACAUCGCACACUACCCUCCCGUGGAUUUCCCCGGUCCACCCCUCCGCCGCGCCGCACAGCAGCAGCACCAGAACGAGCAUGCCCAUCACCUCCACCGCCGGUCCUCCUCUCCUCGGCGGCUCCAUCUCCGGCGGUGCGUCUUCGAUCCUCGAAGAGAGAGAGACGAGCACGAGCUUCUCAAAGUCUUCCCCUUUCCUAUUUGAUGACAGCCUGCAGGCCUCGGUGGCAGCUCGCUUCCAGCGAAGUUUGCCGACAUCCUUACAGGCCACGGUGUGAGAUCCACCGUUGAAGAGUGGCAAGAGAUUGGAUCCAUGUCGAUGAACGGCUGAUAUCGAUCACCUGUGCUGAUGUAUUUAUAUCGCUGUUUGCUACGCUGUCCCUGCCCCAAGUGGCACCCCCAGGGCCAUGUCAUGUGUGACUUCGUGUCAUGUUGUGGGCUUCUUAAAUCCAAUUACUUGCAAGCCUAAUUUCAAUAUUACAAGCACAAUAUGUUGCUACCAUGAUUAGUAACCUAUCUUGAGCACUAUCAUUUCACAUCGAUUUAUUCUUAACAACACUUAACAUCUAAUUUUCUUAUUAUUUUCCUUUUUUAUAUUAGCAAAAAAUUAUUAAUUAUCAUGAUAGAUAUCGUCUGAUAUUGAGUCUUUUUUUCAUCAGAUAUGGCUAGCAUCUCAUUUUAUUACGACAAUAUAUAGUUAUUUUGAAGGUGAUAAGUUACUGAGCGCCGUUGGCAUCAUUGAAAAUGCCAAUUUAUGAAGAUUUAUACCCUAUUUUAGCUUUUGAAAAAUACCAAGAUAGCACGAUUUUCUUAACAAGCAUGUGAUAAUGUUGUUUACUUUGAGCUUGGCUAGUUGAUUAGCUCAUUCAUUCAAGCUGCAUUUCAAGUUUGCAAUAAAAUUGCCAUUGUUUUGCAAGUUUUAAAGCAAACAAGUGCCCAUUUUUAUGAUUUUGGGUGCCUCAACAAGCUACGCGUUCGCAAAUUGAUUCAAAAUAAAGUUUGAGACUCAACACAAAUAAAUAGAGUUCCAGAAACUAAAACCUUGGCUCGGUUUGUUCAUAAUUUUGAAGUCUAUGAACAGAUGAUAAAAAGAGGUGGAAUACUGGGAAAUGGAAGUGAAUAGAAUAACAACUCAGUAAGUGCAGUAUAAUGCUUCAUAGAGAUGGGGAAGGCUUGAAUAAAUUAGAAGAGGCAAAGCAUAAAUACAUGUUGCAUGCUUAUAGCAUCUAUAUAGAGAUUGUUUUGGCAUGACCCUUCUUUUCAACCCUCAAGAAGGAACACCCUUAAAAAUCACAUUCCUAGAAAGUUGCAGCCAUCAUUAAUCUAUUAAGUCACUAAACAUUUAACUUGCUAACUUAACUUUGAGCAUGUGAGAACUAGUGUCACCAAUGUGACGGCAUUGCGGUCAUCAUAUUUGUAUCAGGCUAAAAUCCUUAAACUACUUGGCUUUCCUUUCCAGCUACAAAGUAAUGUUAUUUGCAAUUCUCUAAAACAAACUAAAAUCUUAUCGAUGUUUAUGAUCACAAAAGGAGCUAUAGAAAAAUUGAAACCGAACUUAGGAUCUAUAUCCAAAAUAGCCUACUUGAGAAGCUGAUCAACGAGCUACCCAAUUGUAGAAUAUUCUUUUAUAAAAAAAUAAAUCGUAACAUAUUCUACUUUUGAUCAUGGUGGAAACAGAUAUCUAGCUCAAGCCCACUUGUUUAAUGUGGUUCCAAAAUUGACAAACCAACCUAGUUAAGGGGAGCUUUUUAGAAAUUUACCUAAUUUUCUAAUGAAUAAAAAGGGCUACCCAAGUUUCAAUAUUCGCUUUCACCUUUUUAUUGAGCCAAUCAAUUCGCUCAUCUUAAACUCGACACUUGCAUAUACUUUUUCAUUCAAUCAAUUGCUAGGCCCCACGAAAACCCUGACCCCCUUACACUCGCUUGAAAGAAGAACAAAAAAUAAUAUAUUAGAUUUUAAAUAGAUUACAGCUUUAAUAAUAUUUUUUGUCAACAUGAAAUAUUAUUUUCAAUGUGCAAUUAAAAUUACGAAAAAAAAGCAGGCAACGAAAUCAACAUCAAUUAAAUUGUCCAAAUAAAUCACCGAUACACCCAUCAUCACUGAUCAAGUGCUGUCUCCAAACCCGAACAAUACAAAUUUACUCCCAAUGGAUGACUCUUUGUCAGUCUUAAUCCAAACGAUUCCCUUUUAUAAAGCAGAGGUAUAACCUACAAACCAGCAAGGCGGAAGUUAUGGAGAUCAAGAAGUGGUUAAAAAUUAAAACUCGUGGAGUGUGUUCUUUUGUUGGACAUCACCCUGCAUAUUGUAGGAUAUAUAUUUGUUGUUUAUACUCUUUGCAUUUAAUCUAUUGUUUUGUGUAUCUUAUAUGGUUGUUCUUGUGGUAUGCCAUUUCGGUACUGAACUCUAUAUCAAAGCCAUACUGAUCAGUACAGUAGAUAUAUUUUAUAUCGUCAGAUUCGGUACGAUACAACAUACUAUAAUUGUCAUGACUGGUUUGUGCACUACACUAUAUUUUACCGGUCUUCCUCCUUAUUGUGGGGUAUCCAGGGCUUAAUUGCUUAAUGAACCUCAUAUAUGUUUCCAUGGGGGGUUUGGGAUAUAGGUUUUCUGGGAAUAACUCUUGAUAGGAACAGUGAAACACACCUGCUGAGAGGGAAUAAGGAUUAUAACUAUAUAGGAGCUUAAAACUGUAGCUCCAGAGGCCCAUAGUUAGAUUGUAAACAAGUUAGAACUUAAAACUCUUCGGCACGAUCUUUUACCUAAGGUGACAAAGACUAAAAUCCCAUAACAGAAGCCUUAAAAGAAAGGAAUUAAACAUUUAGCAUCCCAUCAUCAUCUUCAUCAAGUCGCUAUUGUUUUCCAGAUCAUUAGUCCCUGCUUCAGCAAUUCAAGGGACACUUGCAAUUCAAGUUGAAAUUAUGUAAUUAUGAUUCUUAGAAACUGUAGGGCUGAUUAUAUGGGACGGAUUUGGGCACAUAAAAUGUCAAAUUUUAUAUAGGCUUGGCCCAAAGUCUAAUUCAAAAUGAAUAGGAUUUAGGCCCAAGGCUCAGCCCAUAAUCAACUCUACUAAAAUGACAGUGAUAUUGGUACUCUUUUUUAUGAUAAUAAACUCUAUAUAUUUGCUAAAAAGAGAGAUGAGAUGCAGAGGUGGUAUUAUUAAAAUGGAGAUUUAUAAAGAUAUCUUACAGCCUGAAACCCAGUAUGAUUGGGAUGGAUUUCUUGUUAGAUUAUUCGAUUGAACAACAUGCUCAGGCAUGGCCUAUGACAACCUAAAAUCCUUGUUAGAGAUAAUGUUCAAUCACAAAGAUAUAUACACACCCGCUGUUUGGAUAUGAACAUGUCAAUUGAAAUACAUAUAUAUUUGCGGAAACAUUGAAUAGCUAUAGACUUUAUCGAUCAAGUUACUAUAGUUUGUUGAUUUUCUCACUAUCAUCAGUUGCCCAUCUACAGAAAUGGGUGGCUAUAAUUGGCUGCAUGCACGGCCAGAAAGUGCAUGAGGUGUAGGCUAUAAUUUCUUCAUGUAUAGCAGUCAGGAUUCGUAGCAAGUCCAAGCCCUACCUCAUCCCCAAGCAAGUCUAUGAUCAACAUACAACUAUACCGAAAUUCCAUGAAUGCUAAUGCCUACGUAUGUGCAGAACUCGGCAGUUAUCUUCUAGCAAAACCCUUUGCAUGCCAGCAGGCAAUAAGAAGACUAGAAUUACAUUAUUGAUCCCUGAUGUAGUGCUAAAUUUGGUCUCACUGCUAUAAGUUGAUGAGAUCUUAUGAGUCCCAGAUUCACCCUAUCUCUAUGGGACUUCUAAGCACCCAUAAAUGUUGUUUUGAGGGAAAAAAUUAAAAAGGAUAUCCUUAUCUAACUAAGGUUUCCUUUAAAUUCUUGUUAUCAAUCUUUUUGUAAUGUCGCCAUUGCUUGAUCAGUUAAGAGCCAUAAACAAACCAUCCUCUUCAACAAGCACUGAGAUGGCUGUGGAUUAUGAUAAUCAAUUAUCUCAAGUAAGUAUUUAUCAUUUUUUUUUUCUCAGGGAAUCUUUCUUUUUGAAAUAUAGGAAGGCAUUCUUUCCAUGCAUCCAUCAUAAAAGAGUGGAUGUUACUUUGGGAGCCGGUUAUGAUAUAAAUAUGUUACGUGGAUAGCUGGGUAUGGGUCAAAAUUUAGUUUACUAAGCGUUAUAGAACUAUAGAAGAGCCCAUCAGAUUCAACUUUGAACCACCGAAAGUAGAUGAUAAAAAAUAGUGAAAAAGCCACUAUCAUUGAAUCAAAGUCCAACCACAGCACAUGCCCGCAGGCCUACAAAACAAAAGGAAUGCGUCCAGCCUAGAAAACUCACGGAAGCAAUCCCUUCUGAUUUGUCACCCUUCACUUAUGGACAGUACGUACGUAGCUGAUAUAGUGAUAUGUAAACUAACGGACGGACCUCGAAGGUUUUCCUUUCCUUCGGGUGAAGUCCCAAAGAAGGUUUCCGAGGCACCAAACAGCAACAGUAAGUACUGUCAUUGGUCUGGUCGAAAGGCUCAUCUUUCAGGCAAUGUAUGAGGUACUCCCCAUCCCAUGCUCAUCCAAAGAACUACAUGUAUUAGGCCCCCACUGGUACGACGAAGUGGACUUGGCUACAGGUUGCUGUGUUCUCUGGUAGGUAGAAGAGCUCAACUGGUUGCCUCCACCGUUCCCCAGUGCAAGAUUUUUGCUUGUAUAUUAAAAUAAGUUGUCCUCUUUGAGUGGCUGGACAUGCGAUAUGGGUCCAUCCAUAUCCUUUAAGCCUUUGAUAGAUAGUAAGUCCUGCUCCGCCCGUUGCCUGGGAUUUGCCUCUUUACACUAAAUUUAUUGUCCUCUCCACUACAUGCAUAGCACCUGCGUGGCUCAUGGCCUCCCUUAUCCUCAAAAAGGAGUAUAAGGUGGGCUAGGGCAGCGGUUGUACCAUUCCGAGAUGGACGAAGGAUUCACCUUUCUUUAAACGAAUCUACCAUGGAAGCGUACAAUGAUUGCUUUCAAUUCUAUACCUAUGAUCUAACAGUCUACGUUGCAAAAGAAGACCAAUCAUUCUUUCUGCAAGAGAUACAACUCAAGCAUGAUCUUCUUUAGUUAGUAGUGUAUAUUGAAACUCAAAAAACAUGCAAGAUAGACUCUUGGGACUAUUGACAUGGUUGGCAUUUUGUAAUAAAUAAUCUCUUUCAUUUUUUCUGAAAAUUAAAAAAAAAGAAAACUCUUUGAUAUUUCAAUUAUAGAAAUAAUUAAUGAUGGUGAUUUCUUUGCUCUUCAUGUGUUAAAUGUUGACGGGGUCAAAUUUUGUGUGCGGACAUCAUAGGCACCUGGCCACCUGGGUCUUUAGCUUUUACUCCGGCUACUAAAAGCAACUUAUUAAAUUAAAAAGCAACUUAUUAAAUUAAGGGCAGAUUCGCUAGACGGCUGGCCUGUUCACACUUUCCCAUCAACAGAACAUUGAUAGGGUGAAUAUUUUGUCCCUUUCACCCACCAAGAUAUAGAUCGACGAUGAUGGUUUUAUUUAAACUUCUUUAGAUAAUGAGCAUUUCUAUCUUUAGUAUCGUAUAGAGAAGAUGAGAAUCCCCAUGCAGAAGGAGGGCGUUCACAAAUCGAGAAACUUACGCUAUCUAUUUUUGAUAAGUGAGAAUUUUUGUUUUUUUUUUUCAAUAUACGCAUUGCCAAAGGCAACCUAAGGCAACAGAAUCGAUGCAAUGGAACCUUGCGAUCUUGUCCAUGUUUGAUCAUAAAUUUACAAGAAGAUUUUUUCAUAAAGACUAUAAGUCUAUGGUUACAAUGCAGUGGGUCUAAACAGAACUAAUACCUUAGUCUUUGAAAAGCUAUAAGCAAAUUAUGCAACCAAAACUUUGUAUAUUCUGUACACAGUCCAAUUGGAAUAAAACAAAGGAGGGGGGAAUUGUGUUAUCGGUUCCUUUUAACUCCAUCAUCAUCUCUCAAAAGGAUAUUUGAGGGCAAGGGUUCAUCUAUAACUAAUCUUUGGGUUUGUAUCAAACUAUUAAUUGCCCAAAUUAUGCCAUUCUACUACUCCAAAAACCAUCAUUCUUUUGCUCAUAACUCCAGAAACCAGUUGACUUUCGCACCCUAAUAACUCUAUGCUGCAGGUUUGAAUUUUGUAACCUACCCUCUUAUAUCACGUAACUCUCAAUAUUUCGACUGUCCUCACUUCUCAAGAGUUUUCUUCUAUAAAAAUCAUAGAAAAAAAAAAGACCCUGCAAGAGAGAGGAUGCAACAAGAGUGUUUGUAGAUGAGAGAGCAUAAAAUAUAAAUUCUCAUCUUGUUGUUAGAAGGAACAAUCAGACAGCAGCAUGCAGCAUAUACAAGUAUCUGAGAAUUUACAAAAACAAACCCAACAAAAAUAUCUCCAUAAAUUCUACUCCCCCCAACAUAUCUACUUCUUCUUCUUCAUUUUAUUAUUCAAUAAUAAUUAGAAUCCAAAGCGAAGCCCGCCGGCCGGCCGGCCGGCCGGCCCUCAAUUCUCCGGUUCGGGGGUAGCGGGGGGCGGCCGCGGAGAGGAGAGUGCAGCCGCUGAGAGGGCGUCGGCGAGGACGCGCAUCGCCUUGACCUGCAUCUCCAGCGCCGCCACGUAGUCGGCCGUCUCCUCCAGCAGGCUCGGAGCCGACAGCUUCCGGCACCCAGGAACCAGGCGGGCCAGCACGCGGAACCGGUCCCUCACCUUCUUUCCCUUCAGCGCCGGCGGCGGAGGCGCCGGCGAUGCGGCCUUCCUGACCGGUCGCGGCUGCCGACGACGCCGGACCUUGCCGCCGGCCUUGAGGAGGAGCUUGCGACGGCGGCAGCGACCGAAGAGGAUGGCCCGGCUCCACCGGGACUGUCCCCGGGCGGUGAGGGCGAGGGCGGAGUCGGCCGCCUCCUUGACGGCCCGGGCCCCGCCGGCGGCGGCGGAGACGCGGGCGGAGCGGAGGGCGUCGAGGAGGCGGCGCCCGUAGAUCCGCUCCUGGGCGCCCGUCCGCCACUUGGUCUGGGGCUGGGGGGUCGGACCGGGCCGCGGUUUUUUCCGUGAACCGGACGCUGAAGAAGAGGAAGGAGAUGAUGACGAGAUCAUCGUGGGAGGGAGAGGAGGAAGGGAGGAGGAAGUAAUGAUUAAUGACACGGAGAUGAGCUUGGCGGCCUCCAUAUAUUUAUGAUGCUUGUUGUUUGAUAGAAUGAUAGGGGCUCAUAUUAUUGGAGCAUAAACUGUGUGUUAUGAUGGGGACGCGGGGAGGUAUGGUGAGGCCCAUGGCCGGACCCAUGCAGAUUAAUUCACAUGAUUCCCCUGUUAUGGUAGUGUUAGCAUUUGGUGCAUUCUAUCACCAGCACAAUAGAGUUGAUACUUGCACCUGUGUAGUUUAAUAAGCCUGUCCCUUCCAACCAACUAAUAGAAAUUGCUGCCUUGCUUCUGCAAUGUUGUGCUGCAUCAAUUGUGCCCUAAUUUUCUUCAACAUGACACUAAUGCAAUGAAUGAGGUUGUUUCAAACAAGACCCAUCGUACUGGUACCGGACCCCGUAUCGGUGCCGCACUAGUAUAGUGUUAGUAUGGUACAAAAUUUUUUUAGCGUACCGACCCUCGGUACGCCAUCGGUCCUAUUAUCGAAUCAGUACAAUACGGUAUGGUACACUUUGUACCCUCUGAUACGAUACAACACGGCAUACUAUGGUUUCUAAAAGAAAGAGGGAUCUAAUUUGUCAAAGUAUGAUUUGCAUACUUGUUUAUUUUCUUGCACGGUGGUAAAAAAUGAAGCCCUUACAAAUACUAAAUGUGUUUUUCAACUGAAAUACAAGGUGCGUCGAUCUUUUUUUCCAGAAAUUACAAGGUGUUUUUGUGAGGACCGUGCGAGCGUAUGUUUAGUCUCACAUCGGUUAUUUGUUGGGUAGAUCUUGAGUACUUAUAUAGGAUCAAGAAAUCCAAACAAUACUUUCUAGCUAGUCUUUUUGGAUAAGGUACGGGAUUGUGACAAAUAGUAUCAGAGCGGACUUGGCCUAUAAUCUAUGUAGACUAGCGAACACUGCAGCACGGAUUUAUUGGAGCUGACUACAGCUCAGUCGUGGUGCUUGUGAUUAAAUUUAAAUGAAUUUGAACUCUUAACCUGACGAGAACGUCAAGGCUUAAAUAGAGAGAGUAUGUGAGGAUUCAUACAAGUAAGUAUUUAGUCCCACGUCGGUUAUUCGCUGAAUAAAUCUUGCAUACUUAUACAGAAUCAAAAAAAUUUCAAAUAAUAUCUUCUGGCUAGUCUUUUUGAGUGAGGUUCUGAGUUAUUACAGUCUCUAUAGAUAGCAAUAGAUGAGGUGCAGCAUAUUUUCUUGGAAUGAUACAUCUUCGCUUUAGUAUGUGGAUUCCUGUACUCAAUGAUUUUAGAUUUUUUUUUUAACUAUAAACUGCUCCUUUUGCAUUCCUAUACUUGAAUAAUAUUUGAAGUCCACUUGUAAUCAUCAUUCAUGAAAAUUAUAAUGUAACACUGCACUUAAAAUAACCUCUCAAGCGUGGAAUGAGUCGUUUGAGCUAUUAUUCAGUAAUUAGGUCUAUGAUUUGAUGCAUAAUGUGAUACCCUGUUCAUGCUAGUCAGGCAUCUGUGACUCAGGAUAUUUAACUAGCCGGUGCAUGAAUCAAGUAAAUAAACAAUAAAUAAAUAAAUAUUUUAUAGAUGCAAAUCAAGGAACAAUUAUUGGGUGGAUAAGAUUUGUAUAAGUUCAAUAACAAACAUCAAUAUAAGAACGAUCCUCACCUAAUGACACCCCUCCCACAAAGCUUACAAUAAGAUAUCCUUCAUAAAGGUUAUCACAUAUCAGGUCAUAUGCAGAGUCUCCCCUUCCCCGGCUUUGGCUUUCCCACCACGGCAGCGGGCGGCGGGGCCUACCGUUUUCUUUUCUCUUUUGCCGUCGCUUUACCUGGGCUUUUUAUUGAAGUUAAUUAGCAUAUACGUAUAGUUUUGUUUGGCUUCCGUUGGUGGUGGUGGUGCUGCCGCUGGUGCUCCUCCUUUACGUGGAACGUGCUAGUGGCUUUCAAAAAAAAAAGUUAAAAGAAAGAAAGCGCCUAACAUCAAAAAAUUUUCGAGCAUAAUGAUCUUGAGCCUAAGCGGAGUUUCCAGAGAUCAAUCAAUAUAUAUAUAUAUAUAUAUAUAUAUAUAUAUAUAUAUAUAUAGAGAGAGAGAGGAGGAGGGAGGGGNNNNNNNNNNNNAUCAAAAAUCUAAUUGCAAGCACCAUGAUCAGCCCAUGGUCAGCCUGCAUAAAUUCUUGCUUUAGUGUCCCUUAAUCCACGUAGAUUAUGGGUUGGGUCCACUCUGAUACUAUUGCAACAAUCCAGAAUUGUAUCCAAAAUAGCUAGUCCGAUGGUAUUUUUUAGGUUCUUUAGUUCUGUAUAAGUAUGCAUGAUCUCUUCGACAAAUAAUGGAUAUGGAAUAUUUAAACACACGCUAUAUGGAUCCUCACAUAGAAGGAAGAGGUGGGGGCCAAUUAGGUGGGCAGGGUUGUCUCUUGUCCGUGAUUGGAUAAUUGGAUAUGAUGGUAGCUAGCUCGUGUGGGUGGUGCUGGUGAUUUAGUUCAAUUUACUCCUCUAAUGAUGAUUGUUCUCUUCAUCACAUUGUGGGGAUCUCAUGGAAGUUCUUUUCCAUCACGGCUGAUGCCUCUAUUUCAUCUGCCAUGUUAAGAUACCGUGUUUGUCGGACCACCGGCUGCUUAUUUCAUUAACACAAAAAUCAGACAACCUUUAUUUUGUGUAAAGAAUGAAAAACCCUUGCGGCAAGCCAAAUUAGAUCAUAAUUCUUAAAGACUAAAUCGCUUUCUUGUUUGGUGCUAAAAGUUCUUAAAUAACUGAUUCAAUGUGUUUGAUGAUUGCUUGUGAUGGAACCCUAAUUGGCCCACCAUGAUUCCUCUACCUGUCAAUCUAUAUGGUUUGAUGUCUCCGUAAUUAGGUUCCAAAGUCUGCAGUAUUGGAACACAGCAAGCAUAGAUUUGGAUCGUUAACAUGUGGCCGACAUGAACUGCAUACGAGAUUACACGCGUGGGAGAUAAGGAUUAGAAGGUGAGAUUAGGUGGUAGGAUCUCAUUUCAGAAGUUGAAUGUUGCCUUUGUUCUUAGGGGGCAUGUAGGUCAAAUUGUGUCAUCGCAUUUCUUCAUCAAGUUUGAUUAAAGCUGUAAAUAGGUCCGUUUAUGUCUAAAUCCAAUCAAAUUCUAAAUGGAGCUUGUUUGUUGAAAUUGGUGCAGAUAUUGUCACAGAUUACACAAGAUAUAAAAUCGAACAAAAUGUCAACCUACAUGGUUUGGUAGAUGACUAGAUUCGGUUGAUGUUGGUUAACUUUCAAAAAAUAAUUAAAUCAGUAAAUCACAAAUGAUCUGCUGCUUCUUUCUGCAAAAUAUGGUAGGGUGGCUUAACUUCGCUGUUUAUUAGCCUUUUGUUCUUCCUAGGGUUGGUCUUCUUGGCAAAACAAGUGACUUGAAGGGUCCCCUGUGUAUGUGUACGUAUGUGCGUGUGUUUAUAUAUAUCAGGCUUGAAGUUGUCCUACUGGUCAUAACCCAGUUUGAAUUGAUGAUGCUCUUUUGAAACUUCAUCUCUUCAUCAUCCAAGCUUCUCCACUCUGUAAGCCCCUUCAAUAGUUGCUAUGAGAACGAGAGAGGAGAGAAGAUAUACCCGAUGUGUGGUACGAAAGAUAAAUAGAGAAGAAGAAUGGAGAAGGAAGAAUAUAGAUAAAUCUUCCAUUCAUCCUCCUGUACAUUUGAUGAAAUAUGAAACGAUGGACGGGAAUGAUUUUCUUCUCUGUUUGGUAUAGGAGGAAUGAAAGAAAGAAUGGAUGAUAUUUGUAUAAUAUUUUUCAAUACUUUUUGAUUAAAAAAUAUUAUUAUUCUUAGUUUAUAAUAUUUAUUCAUACUCAAGAAGUAGGGUUAUAUAUAACCUUAUAAUCUAUAAUUACAUAAAAAAUUAUAUAAAUAUUAAUAUUAAUUUAAUUUAAUAAAUAAUUUUAAUAAUUAAUUGUAUAUGAAUUAAUUUAUACCGAUUAAUUAUAUAAAUAACUAAUUAAUCUAUAAUUUAAUUUAAAUGAUAAAUUAAUUUUAUAUAAACACUUAACUAAGAAAUAGUGAAUAUAAAUAGAAAAACAGAAGAAGUGUUAUGAUUUUAUUAAAACUCACUCUUUAUAUGCUCUGUCCGUCCUUCCUUGCAUCCUCUCAAUUUGGGAGGAUGCAAAUUGGUGGGCCGGGGUGGAUGGAGAAUCUGUCCAUUUUAGUCAUUUUUUCUAAGUUUUUUUUGGAACUAAUGAGGGUCAUCCAUCCUUCAAGCCAUAUCCAUAUUUCCUCUUGUGACCCCGACUAAACAUAGGAAUAAAAGUGGUGAGUGGAGUAAAUAACGUCACCACACGAGAGAUAAUGAAGUUUUUAAUAUGGUGUCAGAUGUUUGGCCCCUGCUAGAGCUGCACUUGGCAAUCUUCUAAGAUUUUUAUUCAGCUUUUUUAAGAUUUUUUUUGAACUAAUGAGGGCCAUCCAUCCUUCCAGCCACAUCCAUGUUUCCUCUUAUGACCCCGAACUAAACAUGGAUAUGGGCUGGGGUGGUGNNNNNNNNNNNNNNNNNNNNAUGGGCUGGGGUGGUGGAGAAUCUCUCUUUUUUAUCCAUCUAUUUUAAGAUUUUUUUGAACUAAUGAGGUUCAUCCAUCCUUGCAGCCACAUCCUUGUUUCCUCUUAUGAUCCCGGCUAAACAUAGGAAUAAACGUGGUGAGUGGAGUAAAUAAAGUCACCACAUGAGAGAAAAUGAAGUUUUUAAUAUGGUGUCAGAUGCUUGGCCCUUGCUAUAGCUGCACUUGGCAAUCUUCUUUCCCCUCAAAUUACUUGCUGCUCGAGAAGAAUAAUGGCAUUGCUCCCCACUAAAAGUUGCACUAUACGAUCAAUUAAAGUUUGACUUUCUUCAUCAUUUCUUGUCCGAAUGUAGUAUGCCACACCUUGGCAACUUCCUCAAAGGAAAAGACAUUACCAAUUUUCAGAGAAGUGUACAAUAUGUUGUGAGGACUUAUAGAGGUAUAUGUUUAGUCUCACAUUGGUUAUUCGCUAGAAAGAUCUUAAGUACUUAUACAGAACUAUGGAAUCCAAAUAAUACAUUCUGAUUAGCUUUUUUGGGUAAGGUCCUAAGUUAUUAUUAAUAGUAUCAGAGUGGAUUCGGCCCAUGGCGCAUAUAGACUAAGGAAAACUGUAAUACAAGCUCAUUGAGGCUGGCCAAUUACAGUGCAUGUGAUUAGAUUUGAAUAGAUUUGGACCCUUAGCCCAAUGAGGACGUUUGAGCUUAAACAGAAGGAGUAUGUGUGGAUCCAUGCACGUCUGUAUUUAGUCUAACAUCGGAUAUUCGCCGAGAAGAUCUGGGACUCCCGGUUGAGUUAGACAAAGAUGCUAAGUGUGGGAAGAUAUGACUGCCCAAAGACACCAAUACUGUUAAGUGGGAUGUCUACCAAGCCAAAGUUUAAUUAUACUAGCUAUGCGGAAUAACGGGUUUGGCAUGGUCCCAGAUUAUCCCAAGCUUUAGAAUUUUACCGGGGAGCUUGUUCAUGCACUCGACUAUGAUGGUGGAGCCCGGUACGUUGGAAAGAAAGCUCUUGUUGUUCUUUUUUUUUAAUGAUAAAAAAAAAAUCUCGUCGUUCGAGUUGGGUCAUAUGCCAUAGAACUUAUCCUCAAUCUCCGAAGAUUGGAGGCCGGUAUGUAGAACUUAUUUUAUUAUCUUUCUCAUUAUAUCGAUUUUUGUAUGCUUAUUUGGCUUUCUUCAAUUAAGAAGUUCUCAUUAUCAUAUUUCUUGCUAUUCUACAACCUAUUUUCUUUUUUGAAUGUUUUUUUUUAAGAGGGAUAGAGCAGAGGUCAAUAUUUACCAGAGCUAAGCUACCCCCAAAAGAAAAUAAAUUUACCCUUCCAUGUCGAGAGUUUAGUUUCAAACUUCUGAAUUAAUGGCAUCCAGUCUAAUUCGUUAGCGCCCACCGUUUAGAGACAGCCCAAGAUAAGUAAAAAGGUAGAGGUGAAAAGCUACAAUUUAACCAAGAGGCAUAAUCAUCCAAAAUAGUGACCGGAGAGGUGAUUAAAGCUACGGUGAAAAUCUACAUUCGCGGACUGCUGCAGAAGUGUAAUGCCCAUCAAGCUACACAUAUCUACAAGAAAGCUAACUAUACAGCUGAUUGGGUUGCAUCCUAUGCGGCUCACCAUUCUGGAGAUUUUGUUUGGAGGAAGCGUGAUAUAGUGCCGAAUUCUUUAUCUGCUUUAUUGUUUUCAGAUUUUGUUGGCCGCAUCCACAUCCGAAGAGAAAUGGGGUCGAUAGCAAAUGGUUCAAAGAAGCCAUACGAUUCCUAACCGAUUUUUUGAACUUAAUCAAUUCCUCUCUUUCCCUUUUUAACCAACAUCAUUAACCUUGGGCAAAGCCAAAAAUUUGAUCCAACCGUUACAGAAGCUUUUUCCUCUGUUCAAUACAUAAUGACGUGACGGCAUUUGACAGAGCAGCAGGAGCUGGAUGAACCAAUGAGGCUUCGGGCUUUGAAAGAAAAGAAGGAAGGCUUUUGAGUACAAAGUACGCCAGAUUUGCUUCUCGCUGCGCUCGAUCAAAGAAAGGGAAAGAGAACAAGAGCUGCGCUCGACCCUAUUUGUUCCAAGAGCUACCCACUUUUGACCGGAUACGAAUUCACUGGUGCUCGAUCUAAUCCUAGCAACAAUAUAUUCCCAAUGUAUUUAUUGGGUUGGGAUUGACGAAUAACCAAUACCAAUAUUAAUGUUUAUUAGUGUCGAAUAGAAAUUCGAAAUAGGGCAUGGCCAAGUUGUGUCGUAUAAGUGAACAUUAGUUUCCUUAUCAUUCAAUGAGCAUCUUGUAUUUCAUAAAAAUUUAGGGUAAUAUAGUCCGAUUAGAUAUAAUUUGAUCGUUAUGAGCCAAUCCAAAAUCGUUGUAGACCGAACCAAUCAUUAGUUCCCAACCAUGGAUCGN
This 16864-nucleotide long non-coding RNA is filed under the name Phoenix dactylifera (date palm). Its description in RNAcentral is "long non-coding RNA (PDAC_LNC000055)". The record is from RNAcentral. Lineage: Eukaryota; Viridiplantae; Streptophyta; Magnoliopsida; Arecales; Arecaceae.